RNAcentral lists this unclassified non-coding RNA (278 nucleotides) under Athalia rosae (coleseed sawfly). Its description in RNAcentral is "misc RNA ENSAEAG00005003422.1". The record is from RNAcentral. Lineage: Eukaryota; Metazoa; Arthropoda; Insecta; Hymenoptera; Athaliidae.
UGGUGUACUGUAAAUUCUUAUAUUACAGCACGAUAUUCACAUUAUAUUCUAGAAAACAUGCUUUGAGUCAACAUCUAUAAUCACGAGAGACCAGCUGUUGGACUUGAAGCUCAUUCAUGCCACGUGUACGAAGCAAAUGGUUAAUUAUUAUCCCAGUGUAAUGUAAGCAUGAUUAUCUUUAAAUAACAUACAAGUUAAUUAUCCACAGUAAUAAAUUGAAAAAUAGAUCUUGGCAUGAAUAUAUUUAGACAAGUUGAAUGAAACAUGUACAAUAAUUU